Molecule: non-coding RNA, 31 nt
Filed under: Rattus norvegicus (Norway rat)
Lineage: Eukaryota; Metazoa; Chordata; Mammalia; Rodentia; Muridae
Source: RNAcentral
UCCAUGUGUACUCAUUGGUUGGUGGUUUAGU